This 1133-nucleotide ribosomal RNA is filed under the name Haloferax sp. KeC-13. Its description in RNAcentral is "bacterial SSU rRNA". It matches the Rfam family "Archaeal small subunit ribosomal RNA", at positions 156 to 1288 of the family's 1478-position model. Lineage: Archaea; Methanobacteriati; Methanobacteriota; Halobacteria; Halobacteriales; Haloferacaceae. The record is from RNAcentral.
CGGGAGUCAUGCUGGAAUGCCGACUCCCCGAAACGCUCAGGCGCUGUAGGAUGUGGCUGCGGCCGAUUAGGUAGACGGUGGGGUAACGGCCCACCGUGCCGAUAAUCGGUACGGGUUGUGAGAGCAAGAGCCCGGAGACGGAAUCUGAGACAAGAUUCCGGGCCCUACGGGGCGCAGCAGGCGCGAAACCUUUACACUGCACGCAAGUGCGAUAAGGGGACCCCAAGUGCGAGGGCAUAUAGUCCUCGCUUUUCUCGACUGUAAGGCGGUCGAGGAAUAAGAGCUGGGCAAGACCGGUGCCAGCCGCCGCGGUAAUACCGGCAGCUCAAGUGAUGACCGAUAUUAUUGGGCCUAAAGCGUCCGUAGCCGGCCAUGAAGGUUCAUCGGGAAAUCCGCCAGCUCAACUGGCGGGCGUCCGGUGAAAACCACGUGGCUUGGGACCGGAAGGCUCGAGGGGUACGUCCGGGGUAGGAGUGAAAUCCCGUAAUCCUGGACGGACCACCGAUGGCGAAAGCACCUCGAGAAGACGGAUCCGACGGUGAGGGACGAAAGCUAGGGUCUCGAACCGGAUUAGAUACCCGGGUAGUCCUAGCUGUAAACGAUGCUCGCUAGGUGUGACACAGGCUACGAGCCUGUGUUGUGCCGUAGGGAAGCCGAGAAGCGAGCCGCCUGGGAAGUACGUCCGCAAGGAUGAAACUUAAAGGAAUUGGCGGGGGAGCACUACAACCGGAGGAGCCUGCGGUUUAAUUGGACUCAACGCCGGACAUCUCACCAGCUCCGACUAUAGUGAUGACGAUCAGGUUGAUGACCUUACCACGACGCUAUAGAGAGGAGGUGCAUGGCCGCCGUCAGCUCGUACCGUGAGGCGUCCUGUUAAGUCAGGCAACGAGCGAGACCCGCACUUCUAAUUGCCAGCAGCAGUUUCGACUGGCUGGGUACAUUAGAAGGACUGCCGCUGCUAAAGCGGAGGAAGGAACGGGCAACGGUAGGUCAGUAUGCCCCGAAUGAGCUGGGCUACACGCGGGCUACAAUGGUCGAGACAAUGGGUUGCUAUCUCGAAAGAGAACGCUAAUCUCCUAAACUCGAUCGUAGUUCGGAUUGAGGGCUGAAACUCGCCCUCAUGAAGCUGGAUU